ACUUUCAUGGUGUAAAGGAAACAUACCUACUUACAAAGAAAGUAGGGGAUCUGGGUUCAAUUCCCAGUGAGAGUA
Molecule: transfer RNA, 75 nt
Filed under: Dreissena polymorpha
Lineage: Eukaryota; Metazoa; Mollusca; Bivalvia; Myida; Dreissenidae
Rfam family: tRNA
About the family: Transfer RNA (tRNA) molecules are approximately 80 nucleotides in length.
Source: Rfam by way of RNAcentral